GAUGAACGCUGGCGGCGUGCCUAAUACAUGCAAGUCGAGCGAACAGACGAGGAGCUUGCUCCUCUGACGUUAGCGGCGGACGGGUGAGUAACACGUGGAUAACCUACCUAUAAGACUGGGAUAACUUCGGGAAACCGGAGCUAAUACCGGAUAAUAUAUUGAACCGCAUGGUUCAAUAGUGAAAGACGGUUUUGCUGUCACUUAUAGAUGGAUCCGCGCCGCAUUAGCUAGUUGGUAAGGUAACGGCUUACCAAGGCAACGAUGCGUAGCCGACCUGAGAGGGCGAUCGGCCACACUGAACUGAGACACGGUCCAGACUCCUACGGGAGGCAGCAGUAGGGAAUCUUCCGCAAUGGGCGAAAGCCUGACGGAGCAACGCCGCGUGAGUGAUGAAGGUCUUCGGAUCGUAAAACUCUGUUAUUAGGGAAGAACAAAUGUGUAAGUAACUAUGCACGUCUUGACGGUACCUAAUCAGAAAGCCACGGCUAACUACGUG
Molecule: ribosomal RNA, 496 nt
Filed under: uncultured bacterium
Lineage: Bacteria
Description: partial 16S ribosomal RNA
Rfam family: Bacterial small subunit ribosomal RNA
Source: RNAcentral